RNAcentral lists this long non-coding RNA (301 nucleotides) under Musa acuminata (dwarf banana). RNAcentral describes it as "long non-coding RNA (MACU_LNC003495)". Lineage: Eukaryota; Viridiplantae; Streptophyta; Magnoliopsida; Zingiberales; Musaceae. The record is from RNAcentral.
GUCCUUUCUUCAAGCGAAUCAGUCGAUCUACUCAAGAGGAAUGAUCCAGAAUCAAGAUUGUGCUUCCUUGGUGGGGUCUGGGCUCCAAAGGCAAAAAGUCCAAGCUCCAGGUAUGCUAUCUCCAUCAUUGAGUAGCAGCUGGCUCUUGUCAAUACAAUCUAAUACAAAAUUUCCAAAACAGAAAGGUCAGUGAGGCUGAUGGUGGCUAGUGUAUUGUGGGGAGUUCGGCAUGGGAGAGGCAAAAGCUGCCAAGAAUAGUGGGUUGUCAUCCAUUUGACUUGCAGAAUCAAUGGUUGGUAGC